GUGAAAAAAUUAGAGUGUUCAAAGCAGGCAGAUUCAAUUUUCUGCCACCGAAUACAUUAGCAUGGGAUAAUGGAAUAGGACCCUGUCCUCCUAUUUUCAGUUGGUUUUGGCAGCGCGAGGACUAGGGUAAUGAUUAAUAGGGAUAGUUGGGGGCAUUAAUAUUUAAUUGUCAGAGGUGAAAUUCUUGGAUUUAUGAAAGAUUAACUUCUGCGAAAGCAUCUGCCAAGGAUGUUUUCAUUAAUCAAGAACGAAAGUUAGGGGAUCGAAGACGAUCAGAUACCGUCGUAGUCUUAACCAUAAACGAUGCCGACCAGCGAUUAGGAGACGUUGAAUACAAAACACCACCAUCGGCGCGGUCGUCCUUGGCGUUCGUGUUCACGCACGAGCGCGAGGGCGGUUUAGCCCGGUGGCACCGGUGAAUGACUC
Molecule: ribosomal RNA, 426 nt
Filed under: Acanthamoeba sp.
Lineage: Eukaryota; Discosea; Longamoebia; Acanthamoebidae
Description: SSU rRNA
Rfam family: Eukaryotic small subunit ribosomal RNA (bases 1-377)
Source: RNAcentral